Molecule: ribosomal RNA, 700 nt
Filed under: uncultured bacterium
Lineage: Bacteria
Description: bacterial SSU rRNA
Rfam family: Bacterial small subunit ribosomal RNA
Source: RNAcentral
ACUUCAGGCCUAACACAUGCAAGUCGAGCGCGCCUUUCGGGGUGAGCGGCGGACGGGUUAGUAACGCGUGGGAAUAUGCCCUUUGGUACGGAAUAGCCUCUGGAAACGGAGAGUAAUACCGUAUGAGCCCUUCGGGGGAAAGAUUUAUCGCCAAAGGAUUAGCCCGCGUUAGAUUAGGUAGUUGGUGGGGUAAUGGCUUACCAAGGCGACGAUCCAUAGCUGGUCUGAGAGGAUGAUCAGCCACACUGGGACUGAGACACGGCCCAGACUCCUACGGGAGGCAGCAGUGGGGAAUAUUGGACAAUGGGGGCAACCCUGAUCCAGCCAUGCCGCGUGAGUGAUGAAGGCCCUAGGGUUGUAAAGCUCUUUCAGCGAGGAGGAUAAUGACGUUACUCGCAGAAGAAGCCCCGGCUAACUUCGUGCCAGCAGCCGCGGUAAUACGAAGGGGGCUAGCGUUGUUCGGAAUCACUGGGCGUAAAGCGCACGUAGGCGGACUGAUUAGUCAGGGGUGAAAUCCCGGGGCUCAACCCCGGAACUGCCUUUGAUACUGUCAGUCUUGAGUCCGAGAGAGGUGAGUGGAACUCCGAGUGUAGAGGUGAAAUUCGUAGAUAUUCGGAAGAACACCAGUGGCGAAGGCGGCUCACUGGCUCGGUACUGACGCUGAGGUGCGAAAGCGUGGGGAGCAAAACAGGAUUAGAUA